Molecule: ribosomal RNA, 253 nt
Filed under: uncultured bacterium
Lineage: Bacteria
Description: partial 16S ribosomal RNA
Rfam family: Bacterial small subunit ribosomal RNA
Source: RNAcentral
UACGGGGGGGGCAAGCGUUGUUCGGAAUUACUGGGCGUAAAGGGCUCGUAGGUGCCCAACUAAGUCAGACGUGAAAUCCCUCGGCUUAACCGGGGAACUGCGUCUGAUACUGGAUGGCUGGAGUUUGGGAGAGGGAUGCGGAAUUCCAGGUGUAGCGGUGAAAUGCGUAGAUAUCUGGAGGAACACCGGUGGCGAAGGCGGCAUCCUGGACCAAUACUGACACUGAGGAGCGAAAGCCAGGGGAGCAAACGGG